This is a long non-coding RNA of Sebastes umbrosus (honeycomb rockfish), 1574 nucleotides long. RefSeq lists it as uncharacterized. The transcript is spliced from 3 exons. Lineage: Eukaryota; Metazoa; Chordata; Actinopteri; Perciformes; Sebastidae. The record is from RefSeq and is a predicted model, not a curated record.
AGAGGAGGAGGAGGGGUAGGAGGAGGGGGAGGGAGAGGGGGGAGGGAGUGGAGGAUCUGUUUCUGGGACGGCCAAGGCAGCGAAAUGCUGCAGUGAAGCCACACAGCUGAGCCGGUCUGAACAUAGCUACUGAGCGACACUGAGCUCUCAGCCGGCUUCCUUCCUCCUCUCUCUCUCUCUCUCCAUACCUUCAUCUUCCCACUUCUUUCACCUCCCACUCUGAUUAACCUUCCUCUCACCCCUCACUUCGACCUACUCUAUCCCCCCUCCCCCUUCCUCUCCCUAUCUCGCUUUCUCUCUUUGCACCAGCCGGUGAGUGAGCAGAUUUCAGAAAGCAUCCUGAGUGGAGGCGGGCCUCUCUCUACCUCUCCUUUUCAUCUGUCCUUCCUCUUUUUCUACACCUUUUCUUCAUCCUUUUUGUUGCAGAAUGCUUAUAACUCUAUCUCUGCUUUUUCUUCUUUGCGUCCCUUCCCACUGUUUUUCCUGUCUGUUUUGUCCUCGCGGUUUGUGAUCCUGUUUUUAUGUCUGUCCGUCCGUCAGUCUGUCAGUCGGUGGGGAACAGGGACCAUCAAAAAGGACUAGCCUAAACUCUCCCGCCUCCAGAUCUCAAUCCAAUAAGGCAUCUGUGGGAUGGCAUGGACGAAGCUUUUCAGAGUUGAAAUCCGCUGAGGACCAACUUGACAAAACCACAGACAUCCUUUGAAGGGUCAGUCGAAGAGGUCGCGGCGUGAGGUGCUACUGAGGUGCUACUGAGGUGCUACUGAGGUGCUACAGGCUGCAGCUGGACCAGAUUACAUAAGGAUGAGGAAGCCUGACUCAGAGGAACCAGGCUGCCGUGCAGACAAACAAACAAUUAAGCAGAGACCAUCCCCAACCUCCCUCCUUUAAUCCAUUCCUGCAUCCAUCCUUCCUGGGUGGGAGGCAGAAGGAGAGGAUACUGGGAAAUAAAAGAAGCAAACACUAACUGGUAGUAGCAGGUUUCACCUUACCAUCCGUCUUUUCAUUUACACUUACUGCAGGCAAAGAGGGUGUGAUGUAGGGAGGUAAAGAGAGAGAGGGGCUGGAGGGAAACAGGGUAUAUAAGAGAAGAAUCAAUAAUUCCUCAGAGCAGACGGAUAAUCUCAUUUUUCCAGAAAGAAAUGUGUGAUGUUGUUGUAGAAGAAAGAGGAGAGGAGAAUUAGAGAAAAUGAGGAGUGAGAGAAGGAGGAUGUUAUGCUAAGACAGGAAGAGAGGGAAAGUAAGAGGCACUUAUAGAAAAGUGGUUUGAAAGCAUUACACCAUUAGGAGUAGAAAGGAGGCAGAGCAAGACGGUGGGCUGAUUGCCAGUCUGUGGUUAGCAUAACAACACUGCUGACUAUGAUAAGAAAAAACUUCCAAAUUCACUGUCGAAGUAGAUGCUUUCCAUAUCAAGCCAUAAACAUAGUCCACUAGGCCUAUAGACUCGGUCAGACAGUAGCUUAAACAUGCAUUCGGUACAUUUACAUGCUUAAAGGAAUAGUUUGUGUGUUUUGAAGUGGGGUUAUACAGUAUGAGGUACUUAUCCAUGGUAGGUGUAUUACUGACAGAAGAUGUCG